RNAcentral lists this unclassified non-coding RNA (362 nucleotides) under soil metagenome. RNAcentral describes it as "partial contains 5.8S ribosomal RNA, internal transcribed spacer 2, and large subunit ribosomal RNA". The stretch from base 1 to 120 matches the Rfam family "5.8S ribosomal RNA", at positions 35 to 154 of the family's 154-position model. The record is from RNAcentral.
GAUGAAGAACGUAGCGAAAUGCGAUAAGUAAUGUGAAUUGCAGAGUUUUGUGAAUCAUCGAAUCUUUGAACGCAUAUUGCGCCCCUCGGUAUCCCGACGGGCAUGCCUGUCCGAGCGUCGUUGCAAUCCAUCGAGUGACCUUUCUCUCGGUCUUGGGCGCCGUCCCCGACGUGCCGAUCCUACGGGGGAGGCGCGGAGGACGGGCCCCAAAGCCCCCGGCGGCCUCGAGCCCGCGCCGGAGCGUCUCGAAAAUCGCUCCGCGCGCCGGGCCCGGGACCACGCCGGCAAGCAACAUCCAAACCGUCUGACCUCGGAUCAGGUAGGGCUACACGCUGAACUUAAGCAUAUCAAUAAGCGGAGGA